GGGGUUGUGGCUCAGUGGUAGAGCGCUUGCCUCGCAUGUAUGAGGCACUGGGUUCAAUCCUCAGCACCACA
RNAcentral lists this transfer RNA (71 nucleotides) under Marmota monax (woodchuck). RNAcentral's name for it is "tRNA.Ala". It matches the Rfam family "tRNA". From Rfam's summary of the family: Transfer RNA (tRNA) molecules are approximately 80 nucleotides in length. Their secondary structure includes four short double-helical elements and three loops (D, anti-codon, and T loops). The record is from RNAcentral. Lineage: Eukaryota; Metazoa; Chordata; Mammalia; Rodentia; Sciuridae.